This 396-nucleotide ribosomal RNA is filed under the name uncultured bacterium. RNAcentral's name for it is "bacterial SSU rRNA". It matches the Rfam family "Bacterial small subunit ribosomal RNA", at positions 359 to 772 of the family's 1533-position model. The record is from RNAcentral.
GAAUCUUGCGCAAUGGGCGAAAGCCUGACGCAGCCAUGCCGCGUGAAUGAUGAAGGUCUUAGGAUUGUAAAGCUCUUUCACCGAUGAAGAUAAUGACGGUAGUCGGAGAAGAAGCCCCGGCUAACUUCGUGCCAGCAGCCGCGGUAAUACGAAGGGGGCUAGCGUUGUUCGGAAUUACUGGGCGUAAAGCGCACGUAGGCGGAUAUUUAAGUCAGGGGUGAAAUCCCAGAGCUCAACUCUGGAACUGCCUUUGAUACUGGGUAUCUAGAGUAUGGAAGAGGUGAGUGGAAUUCCGAGUGUAGAGGUGAAAUUCGUAGAUAUUCGGAGGAACACCAGUGGCGAAGGCGGCUCACUGGUCCAUUACUGACGCUGAGGUGCGAAAGCGUGGGGAGCAAA